Molecule: long non-coding RNA, 206 nt
Organism: Zophobas morio
Lineage: Eukaryota; Metazoa; Arthropoda; Insecta; Coleoptera; Tenebrionidae
Exons: 3
Source: RefSeq, a predicted model, not a curated record
GUUGCCAGUUCAGUGUGUGUUGCAUUGUUACACAAGGGUUUCACCAAAGGGCACAAAAUGAAUCGCAUUCAACGCCACUGUCUCCCUCAACGUGUGUAAUUGAUGACGCUUCGUACUAUCGUACUCCAAUAGAAACAAUACUCCUAAAUGAGGAAAAUCCUUGCGCCGGGAAUUGAUUAUUCGCUCUUUGAAUUUUUUUAAUGCAA